Triticum aestivum (bread wheat) is the source of this 135-nucleotide non-coding RNA. The record is from Rfam. Lineage: Eukaryota; Viridiplantae; Streptophyta; Magnoliopsida; Poales; Poaceae.
CUUAUACUCCCUCCGUCCCAAAAUUCUUUUCUUAGAUUUGUCUAGAUAAGGAUGUAGCUAAUACUAAAAUGUAACUAGAUACAUCCGUAUUUAGACAAAUCCAAGACAAGAAUUUUGGGACGGAGGGAGUAUUUA